This 508-nucleotide ribosomal RNA is filed under the name uncultured bacterium. RNAcentral describes it as "partial 16S ribosomal RNA". It matches the Rfam family "Bacterial small subunit ribosomal RNA", at positions 28 to 523 of the family's 1533-position model. The record is from RNAcentral.
GAUGAACGCUAGCUACAGGCUUAACACAUGCAAGUCGAGGGGAAACGAUAUUGGAAGCUUGCUUCCGAUAGGCGUGGACCGGCGCACGGGUGAGUAACGCGUAUCCAACCUGCCCAUCACUUGGGGAUAACCUUGCGAAAGUAAGACUAAUACCCAAUGAUAUCCGUCGAAGACAUCAGAAGUGGAUUAAAGAUUCAUCGGUGAUGGAUGGGGAUGCGUCUGAUUAGCUUGUUGGCGGGGUAACGGCCCACCAAGGCAACGAUCAGUAGGGGUUCUGAGAGGAAGGUCCCCCACAUUGGAACUGAGACACGGUCCAAACUCCUACGGGAGGCAGCAGUGAGGAAUAUUGGUCAAUGGACGAGAGUCUGAACCAGCCAAGUAGCGUGCAGGAUGACGGCCCUAUGGGUUGUAAACUGCUUUUAUAAGGGAAUAAAGUGGGAGUCGUGACUCCUUUUGCAUGCACCUUAUGAAUAAGGACCGGCUAAUUCCGUGCCAGCCGCCGCUGUAA